AACUUUCAACAAUGGAUCUCUUGGUUCUGGCAUCGAUGAAGAACGCAGCGAAAUGCGAUAAGUAGUGUGAAUUGCAGAAUUCAGUGAAUCAUCGAAUUUUUGAACGCACAUUGCGCCCCUCGGUAUUCCGUGGGGCAUGCCUGUUCGAGCGUCAUUUA
This 158-nucleotide ribosomal RNA is filed under the name Arthopyrenia salicis. RNAcentral describes it as "5.8S ribosomal RNA". It matches the Rfam family "5.8S ribosomal RNA". Rfam says of the family: 5.8S ribosomal RNA (5.8S rRNA) is a component of the large subunit of the eukaryotic ribosome. It is transcribed by RNA polymerase I as part of the 45S precursor that also contains 18S and 28S rRNA. Lineage: Eukaryota; Fungi; Ascomycota; Dothideomycetes; Pleosporales; Arthopyreniaceae. The record is from RNAcentral.